This 533-nucleotide ribosomal RNA is filed under the name Cryptostroma corticale. RNAcentral describes it as "eukaryotic LSU rRNA". The stretch from base 221 to 373 matches the Rfam family "5.8S ribosomal RNA". Lineage: Eukaryota; Fungi; Ascomycota; Sordariomycetes; Xylariales. The record is from RNAcentral. RNAcentral also lists the same sequence under 1 other name.
GCGUAACAAGGUUUCCGUAGGUGAACCUGCGGAAGGAUCAUUACCGAGUGAGGGCCCUUUGGGUCCAACCUCCCACCCGUGUUUAUUUUACCUUGUUGCUUCGGCGGGCCCGCCUUUACUGGCCGCCGGGGGGCUUCACGCCCCCGGGCCCGCGCCCGCCGAAGACACCCUCGAACUCUGUCUGAAGAUUGAAGUCUGAGUGAAAAUAUAAAUUAUUUAAAACUUUCAACAACGGAUCUCUUGGUUCCGGCAUCGAUGAAGAACGCAGCGAAAUGCGAUACGUAAUGUGAAUUGCAAAUUCAGUGAAUCAUCGAGUCUUUGAACGCACAUUGCGCCCCCUGGUAUUCCGGGGGGCAUGCCUGUCCGAGCGUCAUUGCUGCCCUCAAGCCCGGCUUGUGUGUUGGGCCCCGUCCUCCGAUUCCGGGGGACGGGCCCGAAAGGCAGCGGCGGCACCGCGUCCGGUCCUCGAGCGUAUGGGGCUUUGUCACCCGCUCCGUAGGCCCGGCCGGCGCUUGCCGAUCAACCCAAAUUUU